UGCAGCCACCCUGGAAAACAGUGUGGAGGCUCCUUAAAAAAUUAAAAACAAAUUACCCUAUGACCCAGCCAUAGCACUACUAGGAAUUCCUCCAAAGGAUACAGGAUUGUUGAUUUAUAGGGGCACAUGUACCCCAAUAUUUAUAGCAGUGCUAUCAACAGUAGCCAAAUUAUGGAAAGAGC
This is a long non-coding RNA of Herpailurus yagouaroundi (jaguarundi), 182 nucleotides long. RefSeq lists it as uncharacterized. Lineage: Eukaryota; Metazoa; Chordata; Mammalia; Carnivora; Felidae. The record is from RefSeq and is a predicted model, not a curated record. The transcript has 2 exons.